This 1066-nucleotide ribosomal RNA is filed under the name Enterococcus faecalis. RNAcentral describes it as "partial 23S ribosomal RNA". It matches the Rfam family "Bacterial large subunit ribosomal RNA", at positions 392 to 1461 of the family's 2925-position model. Lineage: Bacteria; Bacillati; Bacillota; Bacilli; Lactobacillales; Enterococcaceae. The record is from RNAcentral.
AACACCUAGGAGGAUCCUGAGUACGGCGGAACACGAGAAAUUCCGUCGGAAUCCGCGGGGACCAUCCCGCAAGGCUAAAUACUCCCUAGUGACCGAUAGUGAACCAGUACCGUGAGGGAAAGGUGAAAAGCACCCCGGAAGGGGAGUGAAAUAGAUCCUGAAACCGUGUGCCUACAACAAGUCAAAGCUCGUUAAUGAGUGAUGGCGUGCCUUUUGUAGAAUGAACCGGCGAGUUACGAUUGCAUGCGAGGUUAAGUCGAAGAGACGGAGCCGCAGCGAAAGCGAGUCUGAAUAGGGCGAAUGAGUAUGUAGUCGUAGACCCGAAACCAUGUGAUCUACCCAUGUCCAGGUUGAAGGUGCGGUAAAACGCACUGGAGGACCGAACCCACGUACGUUGAAAAGUGCGGGGAUGAGGUGUGGGUAGCGGAGAAAUUCCAAACGAACUUGGAGAUAGCUGGUUCUCUCCGAAAUAGCUUUAGGGCUAGCCUCGGAAUUGAGAAUGAUGGAGGUAGAGCACUGUUUGGACUAGGGGCCCAUCUCGGGUUACCGAAUUCAGAUAAACUCCGAAUGCCAUUCAUUUAUAUCCGGGAGUCAGACUGCGAGUGAUAAGAUCCGUAGUCGAAAGGGAAACAGCCCAGACCACCAGCUAAGGUCCCAAAAUAUAUGUUAAGUGGAAAAGGAUGUGGGGUUGCACAGACAACUAGGAUGUUGGCUUAGAAGCAGCCACCAUUUAAAGAGUGCGUAAUAGCUCACUAGUCGAGUGACCCUGCGCCGAAAAUGUACCGGGGCUAAACAUAUUACCGAAGCUGUGGACUACACCAUUAGGUGUAGUGGUAGGAGAGCGUUCUAAGGGCGUUGAAGGUCGAUCGUGAGGACGGCUGGAGCGCUUAGAAGUGAGAAUGCCGGUAUGAGUAGCGAAAGACAGGUGAGAAUCCUGUCCACCGUAUGACUAAGGUUUCCUGGGGAAGGCUCGUCCGCCCAGGGUUAGUCGGGACCUAAGCCGAGGCCGAUAGGCGUAGGCGAUGGACAACAGGUUGAUAUUCCUGUACCAGUUGUUUUUGUUUGA